This 91-nucleotide small RNA is filed under the name Salmonella enterica subsp. enterica serovar Reading. RNAcentral describes it as "partial RtT sRNA". It matches the Rfam family "RtT RNA", at positions 1 to 89 of the family's 130-position model. Rfam says of the family: This family represents a bacterial cis-regulatory element known as RtT RNA. The exact function of RtT is unknown although it is thought that it may be involved in changing the cellular response in relation to amino acid starvation. Lineage: Bacteria; Pseudomonadati; Pseudomonadota; Gammaproteobacteria; Enterobacterales; Enterobacteriaceae. The record is from RNAcentral.
GUUUGCACUUGUCGGGGAAGGGUGAGAACCUUCGAUUAAGGUUCGACUUGAGCGAAAGCGAGAGAACGUUGCCAACGGCAACGGCCCGUAG